This 22-nucleotide microRNA is filed under the name Monodelphis domestica (gray short-tailed opossum). Its description in RNAcentral is "mdo-miR-7304-3p". Lineage: Eukaryota; Metazoa; Chordata; Mammalia; Didelphimorphia; Didelphidae. The record is from miRBase by way of RNAcentral.
AAUGGGGUGUCCUGGUGUGAAU